Molecule: ribosomal RNA, 753 nt
Filed under: uncultured delta proteobacterium
Lineage: Bacteria; Deltaproteobacteria
Description: bacterial SSU rRNA
Rfam family: Bacterial small subunit ribosomal RNA
Source: RNAcentral
AUAGUUUGAUUCUGGCUCAGAACGAACGUUGGCGGUAUGCUUAACACAUGCAAGUCGUACGUGAAAGCUUCCUUCGGGAAGUAAGUAAAGUGGCGCACGGGUGAGUAACACGUGGAUAAUCUGCCCAGUAAUCCGGGAUAACAUCUCGAAAGAGAUGCUAAUACCUGAUAAGCCCACGAUCUCUUCGGAGAACGCGGGAAAAGGUGGGGACCUUCGGGCCUGCCGUUACUGGAUGAGUCCGCGGCCCAUUAGCUAGUUGGUAGGGUAAUGGCCUACCAAGGCUACGAUGGGUAGCUGGUCUGAGAGGAUGAUCAGCCACACUGGAACUGAGACACGGUCCAGACUCCUACGGGAGGCAGCAGUGGGGAAUUUUGCGCAAUGGGCGGAAGCCUGACGCAGCAAUACCGCGUGAGUGAUGAAGGCUCUCGGGUCGUAAAGCUCUGUCAGAGGGGAAGAACCUCCUGUCGCCUAAUACGCGGCAGGCCUGACGGUACCCUCAGAGGAAGCACCGGCUAACUCCGUGCCAGCAGCCGCGGUAAUACGGAGGGUGCAAACGUUGUUCGGAAUUAUUGGGCGUAAAGAGCAUGUAGGCGGUUGUCUAAGUCUGAUGUGAAAGCCCUGGGCUCAACCCAGGAAGUGCAUUGGAUACUGGACAACUUGAGUACGGGAGAGGAAAGUGGAAUUUCGAGUGUAGGGGUGAAAUCCGUAGAUAUUCGAAGGAACACCAGUGGCGAAGGCGGCUUUCUGGACCGA